UUGGGCAACCUUUUCCAUGCAGGGUGAUCUCUAGAAGUGUCUACUCUUCAUCGAGAACACAGGCCUCUGCAUGGAGUUUUAACUGUUAUGUUCACCUCAUUGUGACCUGAGCUGCUGGGCUGCACUGCAACGGAACAUUCACCUUGUCUCCUCAUGUGUGUGACUGCUGUGGGCCAGUUUGAGCAUACUGAAAAGGACCAGGCCAGCCACUGUUUUUGUGCUCUCCCUGUACAAGGCCGGAUCCAUACCGAUGCUUUGCCCCUGGUCGGGGGACUACACUGGAGGGACACUGUAGUGGUGUGGGCCUCCUGAGCAGGGGUUCUGCAUCGGCUGAUCCGACCGAGGAAAAUCCACCAGUGUUUUUGUAGCAGUAUAGACCAGUCCUCA
Molecule: long non-coding RNA, 387 nt
Organism: Sardina pilchardus (European sardine)
Lineage: Eukaryota; Metazoa; Chordata; Actinopteri; Clupeiformes; Clupeidae
Exons: 3
Source: RefSeq, a predicted model, not a curated record